UGACAGGUUUCCUAAAAGGUGGUGAUG
This 27-nucleotide non-coding RNA is filed under the name Homo sapiens (human). Lineage: Eukaryota; Metazoa; Chordata; Mammalia; Primates; Hominidae. The record is from RNAcentral.